GUUUGGAGCUCUGCAAGAGUGUCAAGUAUGGGUCGAACACAUUUGGGUUUCGUCGGCUAUGAUGGUGUUGAACGAUGAUAAUGUCAGAGCGUAAACUUUGGGGUUUUGUUCAGUGGAGAAGAUGAUAGUGAUGGAUUUUGUUCAUUCUCCAUGGACUCACGAACACGAUCACUAGCCCGGGACUUCUUUUGAGGUUAAGGUUAACCGAAGUGGGUGAUGAUGAUGACUAUUUUCUGAAAAGGUUCCAUCCAUAAUCACUUCUCCAAGG
Helianthus annuus (common sunflower) is the source of this 268-nucleotide long non-coding RNA. RefSeq lists it as uncharacterized. The record is from RefSeq and is a predicted model, not a curated record. Lineage: Eukaryota; Viridiplantae; Streptophyta; Magnoliopsida; Asterales; Asteraceae. The transcript is spliced from 3 exons.